UAUGUUAGAACUAAAUUGGUAGAAGAUAAAAUUUAUAAAUUUCUUAAAAGUUAAGGGUAAAAUACGUAAAAUUAGUUUGUUAAAAAUAAAAUUUAAAAAAAAUUAAAGAUAAAAAAUGCAAGCAUAAAUAUAUACAUACGCUUUAAUAUAAAUUUAUGGGUGGAAUUAUUUAGAUGUGAAAAUUUAUCUCAGACUCUAGAAUAAGGAGGCCAUAAUUAUUUUCGAAAGAGGCUUUGAUAUUUCGCUCCAGAAUCCUCACCUCCGGCACAAAAUAGUCAAAUAUACACCAAUGACGAUGUACAAGGAAAGAAACUUGUAUUAGGGUCAUAAUCUUAAUGCUCAUAAUCAUAUUUAAUGAGUCUUUAUAUAUUUGAACUUAAAUUUAUUUUCAUGUAUUAAUUGAAUAAAAUAUAUUUUCCAUUCAAUGUGUUUUUUCUAAAAAUUAAUAAAUAAAAACGGCAUUUCAGU
RNAcentral lists this long non-coding RNA (468 nucleotides) under Glycine max (soybean). Its description in RNAcentral is "long non-coding RNA (GMAX_LNC004598)". Lineage: Eukaryota; Viridiplantae; Streptophyta; Magnoliopsida; Fabales; Fabaceae. The record is from RNAcentral.